UACGAGGGGGGCGAGCGUUGUUCGGAAUUAUUGGGCGUAAAGGGUGCGUAGGCGGUUUGGUAAGUCUCUUGUGAAAUCUCUGGGCUCAACUCAGAGUCUGCAAGGGAAACUGCCGGGCUUGAGUAUGGGAGAGGUGAGUGGAAUUCCUGGUGUAGCGGUGAAAUGCGUAGAUAUCUGGAGGAAUACCGGUGGCGAAGGCGGCAUCAUGGACCAUUACUGACGCUGAGGCGCGAAAGCUAGGGGAGCAAACGGG
RNAcentral lists this ribosomal RNA (253 nucleotides) under uncultured bacterium. Its description in RNAcentral is "partial 16S ribosomal RNA". It matches the Rfam family "Bacterial small subunit ribosomal RNA", at positions 524 to 776 of the family's 1533-position model. The record is from RNAcentral.